This 801-nucleotide long non-coding RNA is filed under the name Hordeum vulgare. RNAcentral's name for it is "long non-coding RNA (HVUL_LNC008753)". The record is from RNAcentral. Lineage: Eukaryota; Viridiplantae; Streptophyta; Magnoliopsida; Poales; Poaceae.
UGAAUUUAUCUUUGCAAGAUAUUAAAAAUCUCAAUUGCAAAUGGACGUAAUAAAUCUCGACACGUGAUAAACGUGGAAAAAUAUUACAUCAACUUAAGAUCUGAAGUACAUCUCAGUACUCAAUAGAUAUACACUACUAUUGUAAUGAAUAGUAAUUGUGUUGCAAACUUGAUGUUCAAGUAAAAAACUUGAAUUGUAUAGACCUUAAAUAAAAUGAGAUGAUUUUGUAUCAAGUUGCAAGAUAAUUCAGCGAGGUGAAUUAAUAUUUUGCGAGGAAAAUUGAUCUCAAUCGCAAUGAGAUUGUUUUGCGAGAGAAGAAAUUCUCAAUCGCAAAUCAGUAUUGUAUUUAACAGGUCUAAAACAGGGUGAAAUCAUGCUAGAACAACUACAAAAUCACAAUUAAAACAAGUUUUGGCCUAUUCAAAAAUAGGUAAAGCCGCAAGGGCUAGAGUGCAAAACUUGCGAAGAAAUAAAAUUCUUUAUCUCUUUCUCACGAGCAGUUUGUGAUUGGGAUUUCUCCCGUACAGGGGCUGCAAGUGCGCACCACCAGGCACCGGCUUGGCUCACCGGCCUGGGAUGCGCCAGGGACGCCGGGAUGGACGUACGCCUACGGGAGCAGGGCGAGGGACACAUCCGUCGCCGCCGCCAUGGGCGGGCAUAGCGAGCCGUGCCACAGACAGGCUCUCAGGAGGGCGUCGUCGUGCACGUGGGGGCCGAGCGGCGGGCGCGGAUGAGCGGCCACGGGCGCUACGCGGCCGGGCGAGGCCGGGCGGCCACGAGCGCUGCGGGUGCGAGGCGACC